AAAGCGUAUAUUAAAGUUGUUGCAGUUAAAAAGCUCGUAGUUGAACCUUGGGCUUGGUUGGCCGGUCCAUCUUUUUGAUGCGUACUGGACCCAACCGAGCCUUUCCUUCUGGCUAGCCUUUUGGCGAACCAGGACUUUUACUUUGAAAAAAUUAGAGUGUUCAAAGCAGGCCUUUGCUCGAAUAUAUUAGCAUGGAAUAAUAGAAUAGGACGUUAUGGUUCUAUUUUGUUGGUUUCUAGGACCAUCGUAAUGAUUAAUAGGGACGGUCGGGGGUAUCAGUAUUCAGUUGUCAGAGGUGAAAUUCUUGGAUUUACUGAAGACUAACUACUGCGAAAGCAUUUACCAAGGACGUUUUCAUUAAUCAAGAACGAAAGUUAGGGGAUCGAAGAUGAUCAGAUACCGUCGUAGUCUUAACCAUAAACUAUGCCGACUAGGGAUCGGUUGUUGUUCUUUUAUUGACGCAAUCGGCACCUUACGAGAAAUCAAAGUCUUUGGGUUCUGGGGGGAGUA
RNAcentral lists this ribosomal RNA (510 nucleotides) under saccharomycete isolate SPT1. Its description in RNAcentral is "SSU rRNA". It matches the Rfam family "Eukaryotic small subunit ribosomal RNA", at positions 594 to 1125 of the family's 1831-position model. Lineage: Eukaryota; Fungi; Ascomycota; Saccharomycetes. The record is from RNAcentral.